AUGUUGUCUCGGUGCGCAGCGGCGCGGAGGAGGGACCGCCGCCACCAGCCCGGCUCCGCGGGGGCCGCCCGGCUCCUCCCCGCGGCCUCCGGUUCGGGCGCGGAGGCGCUGCCCCGGCCGGGAAGCGCGGUGAUCCCAGCCCGGAGCGCAUGGAGGGAAACACGGUGCGGAGGAGGGGCCGCGGUGCCCACCGGAGAUCCCGGCCAUAGGGGCGGGGAGUCUCCUCCUCCUCCUCCUCCUCCUCCCGCAGCGAGGCUCCGGCUCCCCGCACGCACCGGAGCGCUCGGCUCCCUCCUCCUCGUCCCUCCUCCCUUCCCCUCCUCCCCGCUUCCCUCCCCGGGUCGCCGCGGCUCCGGGAGGAGCGGGGGGGCCCCCGCUUCCUUCCCUCCCCCCCUCCUUCUCCCCCCCGCCACGCCGAGGAGAGGCAGUUGCCAUAUGGGAACUUCCUUCAAUCACUACAGUCCCUGGCUGCAUUUGCACCAAUUAUUAGAGCUGUAGGAUUCCAGAUUGUAUCAUGAAUUGCUGGAUUUUGAAGGAAAACCUGGACAACUUCCCACGUGUAUGCUGAGUUUAGCAGGGAAAAGGUAAUAUUGAAAAGAUACU
Molecule: long non-coding RNA, 603 nt
Filed under: Parus major (Great Tit)
Lineage: Eukaryota; Metazoa; Chordata; Aves; Passeriformes; Paridae
Description: lncRNA (ENSPMJG00000014672.1)
Source: RNAcentral